AACGAACGCUGGCGGCAGGCCUAACACAUGCAAGUCGAACGCCCUAGCAAUAGGGAGUGGCAGACGGGUGAGUAACACGUGGGAACCUUCCCUAUAGUACGGAAUAUACCAGGGAAACUUGGAGCAAUACCGCAUACGCCCGAGAGGGGAAAGAUUUAUCGCUAUAGGAUGGGCCCGCGUAGGAUUAGCUAGUUGGUGAGGUAAUGGCUCACCAAGGCGACGAUCCUUAGCUGGUGUAGAGAACGACCAGCCACACUGGGACUGAGACACGGCCCAGACUCCUACGGGAGGCAGCAGUGGGGAAGUAAUUGGUACAAUGGGCGGCAAGCCUGAUCCAGCCAUGCCGCGUGAGUGAUGAAGGCCUUAGGUUGU
RNAcentral lists this ribosomal RNA (372 nucleotides) under uncultured bacterium. Its description in RNAcentral is "bacterial SSU rRNA". It matches the Rfam family "Bacterial small subunit ribosomal RNA", at positions 29 to 426 of the family's 1533-position model. The record is from RNAcentral.